GGCGGGCCGGGGGCACCGCGGGGCUCGUCUUCCCUCCGCGGCCCUGGGCAGGGACCCCCUGGCCCACCCUGGGCCCCUUGUGAGCAGGGGCGUUGGAGUGAUGAGGGCAUGGAGGAAGGAUCACAGGGAGCCUGGGGUCCCCUUGUCUUGUGGGGACACAGACGUGGCGGCACAAGGGGUGUGACGGUCCUGGCUUCAGCCGGCUGGACCUAGGGGAGGGAGGAUCCCGAGGCUGGCGCAGUGGCCGGGAUGUCCCUAGUCCCACUCGAGACCCCCCACUGCUUCCUUUCACUGCCUGGCUGCCACCCCUCCUACCACGCACCCCCUGGUAGCAGAGGACAAGGCAGGCACAGGUCCCCCACCCGAGCCCAGCUCCGUGCUGUGCCAUCUCCUCAGGGCAGGCACAGGUCCGCGCCGUCUCCUCAGGCCCGUGGAGACACCUGUUCCCGGCUCCCCCAGCAGCCAGGUUUUGCUGAGACCCAGGCAGCCUAGAUGGCCCUGUUCCGAGCUUAGUGCGGGCUGGCUGGGAGGAGCCUGGCUGACCCUAACCCUAACGCUGCCCCUCCCCGGUGUUGUCUGAAGACAGGGUUACAAUACUUUUUCAAUUUUUUUUUUUUUUUUUUGACAGGCAGAGUGGACAGUGAGAGAGAGACAGAGAGAAAGGUCUUCCUUUUGCCGUUGGUUCACCCUCCAAUGGCCGCCGCUGUAGACGCGCUGCUGCUGGUGCACCGCGCUGAUCCGAUGGCAGGAGCCAGGUGCUUCUCCUGGUCUCCCAUGGGGUGCAGGGCCCAAGCACUUGGGCCAUCCUCCACUGCAGUCCCUGGCCACAGCAGAGAGCUGGCCUGGAAGAGGGGCAACCAGGACAGGAUCGGUGCCCAACCGGGACUAGAACCCGGUGUGCUGGCACCGCAAGGCGGAGGAUUAGCCUGUUGAGCCACGGUGCCGGCCUCAAAUUUUUUUUUUUUUUUUUUAAGAUUUACUUAUUUGAGAUGGAGUGUUACAGAGAGGUAGAGAGAGGUCUUCCAUUCAGCCCCCAAAUGGCCACAAUGGCUGGAGCUGUGCUGAUCAGGAGCUUCCUCCGGGUCUCCCACGUGGGUGCAGGGGCCCAAGGACUUGGGCCAUCUUCCACUGCUUUCCCAGGCCAGAGCAGAGAGCUGGAUCAGAAGUGGAGCAGCUGGGCCUCAAACCGGCGCCCAUUUGGAAUGGCAACACUGCAGGUGGCAGCUCUCUCCGCUAUGCCACAGCGCGGGCUCUGGUUGCAACAAUUUAAAGACCUGAAGUGGCUGUUAUGUGUGACUCCAGAUGAGACGCUGGCAGGGGAGCCUGGCUUCCCAGACAAGGCCGCAGACGGCAACGGCAGGGCCGAGCAGGCUGGGGAUGGCGCUGUGCUGUCCUGACCAGGGGCCGCCCACAGCCCCCGUCAGCUCCCAGGGAGGUGUCUCCGCCUCCUCAGCACCUCCCCAGCCCCUGGGGAGAAGGCUGCUGCUUCCCAGACGUCAGCAGAGAGGAAGUGCCCAGUGUUUGCACGGUUGCUUCGUGCCCUCACAGGCUGGAGAGCCCUGGCACCCUGUUUCGCUCGUGUGCUUCUUGCCAGGGCCUGUGCACUGGAGUGCCUCCCUCCUUCCUGGCAGCUGGGAUGGCCGACAGACGGUCAGGGAAGACUGCCCCUGCGCUUCCGGGACCUCCGGAGCACCCGAUGGUCACCGUGUCGGGAGGGGAGUGGGAUUGAUGUCACCACACCACCAGCCUGGGGGGCUGACCAAGCCUGAAACUGGCCAGAGAGAGACAGAAAACGCCCACCUGCUGGCCCACUCCCCAGAUGCCCUCAGUGGCCAAGGCUGGGCAGGGCUGAAGCCAGGAGCCUGAACCUCAGUGCAGCUCUCCCACAUGGAGCUGUGCUGAUCCAAAGCCAGGAGCCAGGAGCUCCUUCCAGGUCUCCCACAAGGUGCAGGGACCCAAGCACUUGGGCCAUCUUCCACUGCUUUCCCAGGCCAGAGCAGACAGCUGGAUUGGAAGAGGAGCAGCCGGGUCUCGAACUGGUGCGCAUAUGGGAUGCCGGCACUGCAGGUGGUGGCUUUACCGGCUGAGCCACAGCGCCAGCCCCUGAAUUAAACAUUUUAAGUGCAUGAAUUGUAUGGUAUGUGAAUUACGUCUCAAUGAAGCCAUUUUUAUAAAUACAUGGAGGCCCUGGUUCUUCACUGGGACGCCUGCUCUCUGCCGCGUUAUGUCAGCUGUGUUCUCUGUUCAACGUUGCUCACAUGCUGACUAUCAAAAUAUCGAAAAAAUAAUUUCAUAAAUAAUA
Lepus europaeus (European hare) is the source of this 2302-nucleotide long non-coding RNA. RefSeq lists it as uncharacterized. The record is from RefSeq and is a predicted model, not a curated record. Lineage: Eukaryota; Metazoa; Chordata; Mammalia; Lagomorpha; Leporidae. The transcript has 3 exons.